This 1950-nucleotide long non-coding RNA is filed under the name Sus scrofa (pig). RNAcentral's name for it is "lncRNA (ENSSSCG00040023611.1)". Lineage: Eukaryota; Metazoa; Chordata; Mammalia; Artiodactyla; Suidae. The record is from RNAcentral.
AGAGGAAAGGGACAGCGAAGCCAGAGCUCUGUGUGCUGAGCUGGGUGUGGCUUCCUUGGAAGGCGGUGAGUGCUUGUUCCCUGGAAAAAUCUAUGGAGGACACGGAUGCCGGAAAGGAGGCGGAGGGAAUAUGAUGCAUGUUAUUGCGCAGGAGGGCUGACGUAAAAGGUGCCAGGUGACUUAAAACCACCAAUCCACGCCUCACCCCUUGCCCGUGUCAGACAUCACUAAUCCAUUACCAUACUCUUUCAAUGAGUGUAUCAUAGGCCCCUCCGUGACAUUUUUGGGACCCAAGACAAGGGCACAGAGACCCCCUCCAGGACCCCACGUACUUGCGUGUGUCUAGCCUUCAAGUCCAAGCUCCGUAUACAUCUCCGUGCAAAUAGCUUUCCCAUGGAAACUACCCUUUCUACUCACAUGGGUCUAGGGGUACAUACUUGUCACACCUUAGGGGGGCUGACCUAGGGAGAUGCUAGCACAAGCCCUAGAAUUGCACUCUGGACUGUUUGGGCAGGGGCUUCUGUGGGCCAGGGUACCCAGAGUGUAGCCUGCAAGGCCGGGGGGAGAGGGAGAUCAUGGGCCUCCGAGUGCAGUGUAGUCCUUACCGUGGUGGGUCGUAUGGUCAGAGUAGGGGCCUCUAAGAGCCCCAGCGCCCUGUUUCUAACAGCAGUCCUGGCACAUUUCAUUGGAACAUGUGAAGGCUUCCCCCAAUCUUGCCCACAGCAGACAUGGCCAAUCCAUCCCUGCAUUCUCCCCCUGAGAGUCCUUCACCUAGUACUCCAGGAACUGACCUCGAUCAGCUGCCAUCAUCAGGACAAGGAGCAGCAGCGUUAGGAUCAGGAAUUAAAAAUCCUACACCAUUGGAACCUUUGUUCAGUCAACAUUGGCAGAAGCUUAACAUCUCAAAGCAGCACUGCAGCGCUCCAGCUGAGGCAGAGGGACCAAGCAGCCAGACCCAAGGAACCUCCGCUGAACUCUAGGGCCCUGCAGAGUCCAGUGUGGGGGCGAGACAGUGCUAUGGAGCCUUUGGGCUUUAAGAGUCUGAGGGCCCCUGAGCCCUUCUGCUCAUCUGAAAAGUGUUGGUGAAAGCAUUCGCCUUGCCCACCUGUGAAAACAGUGUGGCCAGAAAUCGGAGGGCACAAUGGUGAUAAAUGAGAGUAUCUCCCAGCGGUGACAUUGGUCAUUGGGUUAGUUCCGCUGUCUCUGUGGCCCUUCGACCCCUGUGGGGACUGUUGGCCUUGAAAACCCAGGCCACAGCCCUGAGUUACCAAUACCUCACUUAGGAUGUAGGAAACUACAAGAGAAUAUCAGUCCUACGGUAACAAUAAGAAAAAGCCAAUAAUCUAUCGAGUCAAACUUCUUUUAGCCCAUCGGGGACUGAGGUUGCAAAGCAAGCAAACUAAAUUGCAGAGGGUGACAGGUCCCUCCAAGAAGAAAGAGGGCACACAUGCUCUUCCUCCUUUGGUGGAGCAUGGGACAAGGUGUCCUACAGAGAGGCAGAAAAUACAACUGAAAUCGUAAAAAUUACUAUUAUUAUUUUUUUUGGCUGCACCCACCACACACAAAAUUUCCCAAGCCAGGGAUCAAACCCGUGCUGCAGCCGUGACCCAAGCCGCUGCAGUGGCAAAGCUGGAUCCUUAACUUGCUGCACCACAGGAGAACUCCUGAAAUUGUAGCACAUUUUUAAAGGUUGGUGUGGGACUUUGGAGUUGUGGGCAGCCCCAUGCACAAGGGCAGUCAUCGCCUACUCACCAGCUCUCGUCCAUGGGCCUCCACUGGACACACAUGGGAAAGAGCUGGGGCAGGACAGCAGACCCUUGAGAGCAUCCCUUGGGGCUCUGACCAAGUUUGAGAGGGCAAAUUAAGGAAGCAGGGCCUAUUUACAGUGUAUCAGGCACAAAAUACUUGCACAUGGAAAACUAGAAAGCCUUGCUGAGAGAAAUGUAAGAG